AGCUAAAGUGUCUGAAUAAAAUUCAGUCAUCAUUCAUUUUAUUCAUAUUUGUUUUGUUCUUUAUGUGCUGUUAGCUGAAAGAUUAACUGUGUUUCAGCCACAGACUUACAUGAAGCAACAACCUUUUGGCAUCUUGAUGUCACCUCCUCCUUCGGACUGCCCUCAGUGGUGCAGUCGGUGUAAAAGCUCCAACCACUUAAAUCAUCUCCUGUUGCUUGAAAACUUGAUUUGGCCAUACUCCACCUCCGCCUCUGCUCUUUGCUCAGCAUCCUUCCUCUGACAUUUCGUGAUAAUGACAUCAGCAUAGGUUACUUCCUGGUCAUCUUCUUCAGCUGCAAAUUAGUAGGAAGAGGUGGCACGAACAGUCAGUGUAUUAGUACAGGAAUGGUUUGACUUAAACAAGAACUUUCACUCUCAUGUCUGCUGCUGGAACAGUUGAUUAGUUUUACCACAAAGAUUGAAGGCAGUGUGUGUGAUUAACUGGUGCACAUUAAAACUAAUUCAAAAUGUUUCAUUGGUGAACUUUCGGGCUGCCGUUUUUUGAGCUGUUUCCCCAUGUUUUUAGUUGUUGUGUUAAAACUAGUUGAUUAGCCACACCAACAAAUUUAACUGACAUAUGACAGAAGUAUGAUUAAACUCUUGGCAAGACAGCAAAAAGGUUUAUUAAAAAAAUGUUAAAUAAUUAUAUAUGUUUAAUUAAUCUGAGAAAGUGGAGUGUAGAAAUGGAAAGUUUUGUACCUCUUUGUUCUGUAGGUUUGCUGUUUUGCUUUUUCCUCCAAGCACAUAUGACUGCUACACCAACAACCAAGAAAAUUACCAGCGCUGAGAGAACACCACCUAUCAGUGGCAAAUUUCCUGUUUCAAAAAUAUAAGACAGAAACAGAUAGCAGGUUGAAUCAGAAAAAAAAACAUUAUUAUUUUUUUUUUAAUGAAGACAGAAUGAGUGAAGAAGAAAAUUAUAUCAGUGGAUUGACAAUAGGCUCAUCACUGAUGGCAGUUCCUUUCUCCUUACCCACAGAAGUCUUUGUUGGUUUAGGGUUUUGUAAUGGGUAUGGGAGUUUGGGGGUGUCCUACUGACUUUCUGUAUUUUGUGGUGGCGUAAUUUAGUUUAUCGGAGGAGUAUUUGGACAGAUGUUUGGUCGCCCCAGUUCGGGUCGCGACA
This 1162-nucleotide long non-coding RNA is filed under the name Oreochromis niloticus (Nile tilapia). RNAcentral's name for it is "lncRNA (ENSONIG00000029540.1)". The record is from RNAcentral. Lineage: Eukaryota; Metazoa; Chordata; Actinopteri; Cichliformes; Cichlidae.